This 497-nucleotide ribosomal RNA is filed under the name uncultured bacterium. RNAcentral's name for it is "partial 16S ribosomal RNA". It matches the Rfam family "Bacterial small subunit ribosomal RNA", at positions 28 to 507 of the family's 1533-position model. The record is from RNAcentral.
GAUGAACGCUGGCGGCGUGCCUAAUACAUGCAAGUCGAGCGAACAGACGAGGAGCUUGCUCCUCUGACGUUAGCGGCGGACGGGUGAGUAACACGUGGAUAACCUACCUAUAAGACUGGGAUAACUUCGGGAAACCGGAGCUAAUACCGGAUAAUAUAUUGAACCGCAUGGUUCAAUAGUGAAAGACGGUUUUGCUGUCACUUAUAGAUGGAUCCGCGCCGCAUUAGCUAGUUGGUAAGGUAACGGCUUACCAAGGCAACGAUGCGUAGCCGACCUGAGAGGGUGAUCGGCCACACUGGAACUGAGACACGGUCCAGACUCCUAAGGGAGGCAGCAGUAGGGAAUCUUCCGCAAUGGGCGAAAGCCUGACGGAGCAACGCCGCGUGAGUGAUGAAGGUCUUCGGAUCGUAAAACUCUGUUAUUAGGGAAGAACAAAUGUGUAAGUAACUAUGCAAGUCUUGACGGUACCUAAUCAGAAAGCCACGGCUAACUACGUG